CUACGUGCCAGCAGCCGCGGUAAUACGGAAGGUCCAGGCGUUAUCCGGAUUUAUUGGGUUUAAAGGGAGCGUAGGCCGUGGAUUAAGCGUGUUGUGAAAUGUAGACGCUCAACGUCUGAAUUGCAGCGCGAACUGGUUCACUUGAGUAUGCACAACGUAGGCGGAAUUCGUCGUGUAGCGGUGAAAUGCUUAGAUAUGACGAAGAACUCCGAUUGCGAAGGCAGCUUACGGGAGCACAACUGACGCUGAAGCUCGAAGGUGCGGGUAUCAAACAGGAUUAGAUACCCUGGUAGUCCGCACAGUAAACGAUGGAUGCCCGCUGUUGGUACCUGGUAUCAGCGGCUAAGCGAAAGCAUUAAGCAUCCCACCUGGGGAGUACGCCGGCAACGGUGAAACUCAAAGGAAUUGACGGGGGCCCGCACAAGCGGAGGAACAUGUGGUUUAAUUCGAUGAUACGCGAGGAACCUUACCCGGGCUUGA
RNAcentral lists this ribosomal RNA (480 nucleotides) under uncultured bacterium. Its description in RNAcentral is "bacterial SSU rRNA". It matches the Rfam family "Bacterial small subunit ribosomal RNA", at positions 501 to 984 of the family's 1533-position model. The record is from RNAcentral.